Molecule: unclassified non-coding RNA, 317 nt
Filed under: fungal sp.
Lineage: Eukaryota; Fungi
Description: partial internal transcribed spacer region
Rfam family: Eukaryotic small subunit ribosomal RNA (bases 1-46)
Source: RNAcentral
AAGUCGUAACAAGGUUUCCGUAGGUGAACCUGCGGAAGGAUCAUUAACACGUAUCCAAACGUUAAAACCCCCCCCGUGAACCUUCAUCCUGCUCUUGUAACCCGCGUAGUUUGCAAUCUCUGAUAAAUCAUAGCCUGGAAAGUUGUAGUGAUUCAGAGACCUCUGGCUACACGAUUCCUGUAGACCGUACACUCGGGCAGGAGCUUUGCCAAAGGGUCCCCAUGCCCCCUAAUAACCCCACAGUUUAAUGUGAAGCUCAAUGUAAUACAUUGGGUAAAAAAACCGAACAACUGUUAACAAUGGAUAUCUUGGUUCUC